UAGCCAAACAAUAAGAUACA
Molecule: non-coding RNA, 20 nt
Filed under: Arabidopsis thaliana (thale cress)
Lineage: Eukaryota; Viridiplantae; Streptophyta; Magnoliopsida; Brassicales; Brassicaceae
Source: RNAcentral